RNAcentral lists this long non-coding RNA (7315 nucleotides) under Nicotiana tabacum (common tobacco). RNAcentral's name for it is "long non-coding RNA (NTAB_LNC003186)". Lineage: Eukaryota; Viridiplantae; Streptophyta; Magnoliopsida; Solanales; Solanaceae. The record is from RNAcentral.
UUUGCUUAAAGCAUUGGAAUAUCUCCAAUUCAUAGGGUAUUCAGGCACUACAUUCUUCCUCUACAUAACUCCAUCACAAUACUUCCCUUUUCUACAAAGAAGCUGCCACACAAGUUGCUAAAUGUUAAUCCCGUAGCGGUUCAAUUCCAACGAGCCUUUCGAACUAGUACUAUUAGUAAUCGAGUCUAUAGUUACUACCUUACGAAAUUCAGUUUAUACAAAAAGUAAAACCAGCUUAAUCCAAGAGGAUAGCUUAUUCUAUUCUGCCUCGUUUUCAUUUCUUUUUCGUUUCUCCCCCCUCACUCCUGUACUCAGUGCUCUCAAAGCAUCUAAAACAUCCUUCAUCAUUGGCCUUUCUUCUGGUUCCAGAUUCAUGCAGAGGAAUACCAGACGUGUGAUAUCAAAUGCAGUUGGAUGAUCAACUUCUUUGAAGCAUUCAUUAACCAAAUAUUUUUCACUAAGUGAAGCCUCCUUUAAAACUGAAUUUUUCACAAUCACAGGAUUCUCGCGAAAAUUAAAUUUCUUUUUGCUUAUUAGCUCCAGAAGUAGAAGACCAAAUAUAUAAACAUCAGACUUCAUCGUCCGCUCACCUGUAUCGAUCCAGAAAAUAUAAGAACAGAACUGCACUUAGUAAUGAAAAGCAGAUAAAUAAUGUAAACAAUAGUAUACACAUAAUAUAAACAUCAAAUAUGAUGAAGAUUCUCCACAGGGGGGAAGCUAAGAGUCAUAAUUCCUAAUUCAGACUUCUUUUUACUAGCUCUUUUUCUGUUUCAGCAAAAAACAUAAAAACAUAUGAGGGUCAUGGCAGAGUCAGCUGCCGAGCUGAGGAGUUAAUGCCAGGGGCGGAGCUAAAAGCCCGAGUAUUGGUUCGCCGAACCCAGUAUCUUUUGCUCAAAAAAUGUAUUUGUGUUAAAAAAAAUCAUUAAAUAUGUACAAAUAUGAAAUUUAAACCCCAGUUAUCAGUACUUAAAGUCGUCGUUCCAAAAUCCAAACCCCAUAAAAUUGAAUUCGGUUAAUGCACACUAAUGAACAAUGCAUAGAAACAAGGCAUCACAAGACGUCUUCAGUAUAGGAUAUCUAGAUAACAAACAACAAACAACAUCAACUUGUUUGGAAUCUUUUCCUGCACACUUUUGGGAUAAAAGUGGGUGAUGUCAGCAACCACAAAAGAGCUACUAAGUAGCUGGAUGUGCUGUAACGGGAACAAAGAGUUGAAGGAAAUCUGGAGGACCAUUCUAGCAUGUGUUUUACGGCCUAUUUGGAAGGAGAGGAAUCACAGAUGUUUCAAAGGAAAGGCAUCAUCAAAUACAUGUUUCAAAACAGAGAAGUUUAUUUUAGUUUAGAAUUCUGGUAUAACUUGAUUGAUGCAUACAGUGUGGAAAAGAUGAUAGAAUCUACUAGUAGCUUACAGAAGAUCGAGUCAUUGUACUCUAAAGAAUUUAAGUUACGUACACUGACACCAUGAAGGAUUUUUUACACGAUCAGUGAAUUUCAACCUGUGAUAGCAGGUUAAUUACCAUUUUUACCAGAUUACUAAUUAGUGCUUAUCAAGAGAUUUUUCUGUAAUUACCUAAUAAUUGAUUUGAUUGCGUAAAUAUAUUUUACACUGCAGUGCAUGGAACAUACCAUUUCUAUCACAGUUUCAUAACUAACCGUAGGCUCCAACACAUAUUCCAGUUAGAGUUUGUUUUGUCCAACAACUAAACCUAAUUUGCUUAUUACUUGGGUACUAAGGAGAAUAGAACAAGAAAAAAUGCAAAGAAAAAGAAAAAAGUGGCCGGGUUUAAUUGAUGAAACCGACCUCAAAUAAAAAGCGUUGCAUCAUGAAAAAACAUGGACAACUACAAGAAAAUCUUUAAUCUAAAGCAUGAAAACAUCAGAGAUGAUGAGGUCUGAGUAAACAUGCCUGCUACAACCUCUGGAGCUUCCCUGCCAACACGAGCUUUAACAGGAAUUUUACAAUCUUCGCUCACAUGAUUUGAAAAGUGACCAAAGUCAAAUACUUUUAUAUUUACUUCCUGCAAGCCAAAACAAUUUCCAGGUUCCAACAAGCCAGUAAGGUAAUGAUGUGUUAACAUCUUCAAGUAUCUAAGAGAAAUAAAAAGUCGAGAAGACGGCCAAGGGUUCAAACUCAACCUCAUCUAUCAUAAUGCAUGAAGCAGUAACACUGCCAACUGCAACACUCUUUUCAUGCAACCAUGCCAAGAGAUCUGCAAGUUGAGUUGCCACUUUUAUCCGGUCAUCCCACCCAAAGUCAUCUGCGAACGAGGAAAAAAAAACAUAAAGGAUGUGCUAAAACCACACAAAUUUCGCACUGAACAGUCAUUCAACAUAAUAGUCAAGGUAAUAAAUACCAGCCAGAAGCACAUCAGACAAGACUCUGGUGAAUUUUUCAUCAUAGACAGCUGCAAGCCUCGUCUCAUAACAGUACCUAUACAACUUCGACAAAUUUGGAUGCGUAUUUACUCUUUCAUCUGUGAAUAACUCGAUCUCGUCCUACAAAAGAAACCUUGACAUCAUUUUACCCAAAAUAAUAGACAAGAAAUCAAAUUCAGACCAAUCUUGCAAACAUACACAAAAUUUAUGUAGACGUUGAGUAUGCUCGUCUCCCAAAGGAAGGAGAAAAUCCCAUGUCUUUACAAUCGCCGGUCGCUUUUCAGAUCCUUCACCAAUGGUGCCACAAAACAAUCUUCCUGAAAGAGUCUUCUGAAUCAAGCUCUCAGGCUUGAAAUCAGUAAUGUUUUGCAACUCGGAGUAGGUGCAAAGCUUCACCUCACCAACUAUCAUUGGCUCAAUUGAGAACUUGAAGCUGCAUAUUGGCAAACAUACAAGAACAUUCGGAGAAGAAAUAAUAACAUUGUGGAUGUCAAUCAAGUUCAAAAACCAUUUUGAAAAACUGAUUCAAAUGCAAAGAUGUUGUUAUAAGUUCAUACAUCAACAAUAGUGACUAGUUCUUUUUCCUUUUUUGAUAACCAAGAUAUUCCCGAGAGCCGGUGGCGCACGGUUCAAAACUCAACGAAUAAUGGGUGUGCCCCUCUACCUUUCUACACUUAUAUACCAGUACGCUUCGCAACCUUGACGCUCGCCAAACCUGCACAUCACCUGCUGCGCUAUUACCACCAGAACCAAAGUCCUGGUGCUAUCAGUGACUAGUUUUUUAUACUAAACUAUUUAAUACUUAUAUUCAUUGAUAAAGGUUUUCCUUAGCAAUUUAAUAUAUCAUUUUGCAAAUGAUAAUUGCUUGCGAGUCAAAGCAAGAGGGCAAUACAAAAUUGGCAGAUUCACUGCAGCUAAUUUCGGGUGUUAAUUAAGCUCACCUCAAACAAAACUAUAACAACUAUUUAUUAUAUUGGCAGAACCUAACUCUCUCUGAUGAAAAAAAUAAAAUAAAAUAAACCCUAGACAAAAAUUGACAUAAGCACAACACAACCCUAUACUAUUCCUUUAGAAAGAGAGAUAAUGAAAAAACCUUUGGUAAUAGUUGCAUCUUUCAUAGAAAAAGGCUAGCAUUCCGUUAGCGAUGCUGUCGAUGAACAUAGGGUGGCGCCAAUUGGGAGAUUCCUCCUUGUUAAAAAUUUGAAAGUAAUAAGGUGAAAAGUCCCAUUCCUCCAACUUCUUUCGGAUCAUCUCAAACCCCCCACGCUUCUCCUCCUCGUCUCUAAUCUGAACGUCUGUCAUUUUUUUUCUAGGGCACACAACACAAAAGGGGAGAAUGAGGGUUUUGGUGCUGAGCGCUUGAAAUAGAAGGGAAUUUUCUACCCGGCCCGAAUCCGGAUAAUUGAGUACGGAAAACCGAAGGAUUGUAUACAAGGAAAAAAAGAAAGAAGAAUUUUUCCUCUUUUCUCCCGUUCAUUCCGUUCCAAUUCAUGUGAAUAUGUUUGAUUUGACACGUAAUUUAUUAAAAAAAAAAUUAAAAUUUACAGUUCUAAACAAUUAGAAAAUGGGUCCAAAGUAUUUAUAUGGUUAUAAAAACUUUUUAUUAAUGGUAAAAUUAUAAGUUUAAGCAAAAUUAUUUCCAAAUUUAGAAAGGGGGUCAUUCUUUUUGGAACAGACCAAAAAAGAAAUAGGUUCACAUAAAUUGGAACGGAGUUAGUAUUACUUUUCUUUUGGAUAAUAUAGCACUUUUGGUGCAUUAAUUAUUAGUGUUAUUUGUACAUUAUACCCCUUUACAAUUUUAAAAUUAAGAAAAUAAUCUUUUUAGAUUUCUUAUGUGUGAAAACACAUCUCUUAGUAAAAGUAAAUCUCAUACGUAUAAAAAAGAGAGGCAAGGUUAUAAAAUAAAAAAUAAAUUUGUAAAGAACCACAAAACUACCCAUUUGUGCUAUAAUAAUAGUAAAUUCUGAUUUUGGUUUUUAUGAUAUAUGACUAAAUAUAUUUAAUUAAUUAAAUUGUGUAUUUGUUAUCCUUUUAUGUAAGAAAUAUUUAGCUUUUUUUAGAACUAUAUUAUCCUAAAAUAGAGAGUAACAUUAAAAACUUAACAUAACACAUGCAUAAUUAAAUCGAGUUAUAAUUAAUUAAUCGAUAAACUAGCUUUCCUUAAAGGUCAAAUGAAUUGGAUUGAGAUUUAUGAAAGAGUAGAUAAUUUAUUCUCUUAUGUCCAAUAACUUAUGCUAGUGGGAGGGAGCAGUACCCGUUUAAUUAGUCGAAUACGCACAGUGUGGAAACAAAAUAAUUUUGUAAAUUCUUGAAAAUUCAAAAGUCGAGGGAUGAGAAGUAAAAAUUCCAUUGAAUGUUGAAUUUGCUUAGUUCAAUAUCAUCGGGCGGAGCUAGAGUGCCCCGAUCGGAUCACACUAAAUCCGGUAACUUUGGUUCGAACCAUGUAUAUGCAGUGGUGGAACCAAAAUUUACGUUAAGAGUUGUCAAAAUAUAUAAAAGUAAACAUAUAAUAAAAUUAAGUGGAGUCAAUACAUAAUAUAUAUAUAUAUAUAUACAUAUAAUUUUUUUACCUACCUACACAAUUUAUUUUUCUCGCGCAAGGGGUGUGAUUUGACAUAACUUUUUAUAAGGUGGCUCCGCCACUGCUUAUAUGUCUUAAACAAUUAUUUAAAUAUGUAUUAAUUAUUAACGUAGGUCGGGAUUGUGAAUUACAAAUGUCACAAUUGUAUGCCGUUAAUAUGAAUUCAAAUUCUCAAGGCUCAGCUAUACCAAGCACCAAAACCUCUCUUUUUUCCCCCAUUUGGUUCGUUCUCCUUUGUGUGUGUGUGCCCUAGAAAAAACUAAUGACUGACGUUCAGAUGAGAGACGAGGAGGAGAAGAGCGGAGGGUUUGAGAUGAUCCGAAAGAAGUUGGAGGAAUGGGACAUUUUGCCUUACCAGUACCAAAUUUUCAACAAGGAAGAGUCUCCCAACUGGCGCCACCCUUUGUUCACCGAUCGUACCGCUAACGGAAUGCUAGCCUUUUUCUACGAGCAAUGCAACUACUAUCAAAGGUAUUUUCAUUAUCUCUCUUGCUAUUCCUCCUUCAUUACACACACGCACAUCCCCUAUUUUUGUUAGCAAAGUGAGAUAUUAUUAAAUUGCUAAGCUAUCGUUGUUGGCAAAAUGGUAACUAGUAAAGUUGUCUCCAUGUGACCAGGAGUGCACGAGUUCGAGCCAUGUAAACAGCCUCUUGAGGUUGCGUACAAUGUGGUCCAACUUUUCCGCGGAACCCGCGCAUAACAGGAACUUAGUGCAUCGGACUGCCCCGUUGUCCAUGACUCAUAGAUCAUGAGGUGUCUAAGUUCAAAUCCCAGCGGAGGCAAAACACUAGUUGAUUUCUCCCCAUUUGUCCAAGUUUUGGUGGUCAAAGUUAGUUGGUACCCCGUAGAAUUAGUCCCUAGCCCGAAUACCACGGUUAUAAAGAAAAGAAAUGGUUAUCAAUGAAUAUGUUAAUGAUUAGGAAUAUAAAGAUUAAAAUAGUGUUAGUAGUAUAAGAAAACUAGUCACUAAUAGCCCCUAGGGCUUUGGUACUAGUGGUUAGAGCGACACCACGUGAUGUUUUUGGUUAGGCCCAUGUCAUGGGGUUCGAACCCCGCCGUGGACAAAAGCAUGGUACUUAAGUGGAGAAUCCACCGAGUUUCGAACUGUGGGCCUCUGGCGUUGGGGGAUUUCUAGGUUAUCAAAAUAAAAUAAAAAAACUAAUCACUAACAUUGAAUUAGGAAAUUAUAACAACAUUUUUGCAUCUGAAUCAGAUUUAUUAAAUGGUCUUUGAACUUGAUUGACAUGACUUUUAUUUCAUUAAGUUAUACUUUUAUUAAUUCCUCUGCCAAUAUUAUUAUCGUUUGUAUUUAGAGUUAUUUUUCUUGCAUCAUAUAUUUUCUCACUAUAGCAUUAAAGUGCAUUUGCUUCAAGCCCCUAAGACCUUGAUACCUUUUUUAUUAAAAUUAAAUUCUACCUGCUCUGAAUUUGUCGAUGUCCCAUUUCACUUGACCAGUUAAGAAGCUAGACAUCCACAAUCUUAUUCUUUCUGCUCUGAGUGAUCUUCUCUGGUUGCCGAAAUGCAGCUUCAAGUUCUCACUUGAGCCCAUGAUAGUUGAUGAGGUGAAGCUUUGCAGCUACUCUGAGUUGCAAGACAUUACUGAUUUCAAGGCUGAGAGCUUGAUUCAGAAGACUCUUUCAGGAAGAUUGUUUCGUGGCACCAUUGGUGAAGGAUCUGAAAAACGACCGGCGAUUGUAAAGACAUGGGAUUUUCUCCUUCCUUGGGGGGAUGAGCAUGCCCAACGCCUACAUAAAUUUUGUGUAUGUUUGCCAGAUACGUCUGAAUUUGAUUUCCUGUCUAUUAUUUUGAGUUAAAUGAUGUCAAGAGUUCUUUUUGUAGGACGAGAUCGAGUUAUUCACAGAUGAAAGAGCAAAUACGCAUCCAAAUUUGUUGAAGUUGUAUAGGUACUGUUAUGAGAUGAGGCUUGCAGCUGUCUAUGAUGAAAAAUUCACGAGAGUCUUGUCUGAUGUGCUUCUGGCUGGUAUUUAUUACCUCGACUAUUAUGUUGAAUGACUGUUCAGUCCGAAUUUUCUGUGUUUUUUUAUGAUUUCUUUUUCUCGUUCGCAGAUGACUUUGGAUGGGAUGACCGGAUAAAAGUGGCAACUCAACUUGCCGAUCUCUUGGCAUGGUUGCAUGAAAAGAUAGUUGCUGUUGGCAGUGUUAUUGCUUCAUGCAUUAUGAUAGAUGAGGUUGAGUUUGAACCCUUGGUCGUCUUCUCGCACUUUUUAUUUCUCUUAGAUAUUUGAAGAUUCUAACACGUCAUUACCUUACUGGCUUGCUGGAACCUGGACAUUGUUUUGGCUUGCAGGAAGUAAAUAUAAAAGUAUUCGACUUUGGUCACUUUUCAAAUCAUGUGAG